This 505-nucleotide ribosomal RNA is filed under the name uncultured bacterium. RNAcentral's name for it is "partial 16S ribosomal RNA". It matches the Rfam family "Bacterial small subunit ribosomal RNA", at positions 28 to 507 of the family's 1533-position model. The record is from RNAcentral.
GACGAACGCUGGCGGCGUGCCUAAUACAUGCAAGUAGAACGCACAGUUUAUACCGUAGCUUGCUACACCAUAAACUGUGAGUUGCGAACGGGUGAGUAACGCGUAGGUAACCUGCCUGGUAGCGGGGGAUAACUAUUGGAAACGAUAGCUAAUACCGCAUAAUAUUAAUUAUUGCAGGAUAAUUGAUUGAAAGAUGCAAUUGCAUCACUACCAGAUGGACCUGCGUUGUAUUAGCUAGUAGGUGAGGUAAGGGCUCACCUAGGCGAGGAUACAUAGCCGACCUGAGAGGGUGAUCGGCCACACUGGGACUGAGACACGGCCCAGACUCCUACGGGAGGCAGCAGUAGGGAAUCUUCGGCAAUGGACGAAAGUCUGACCGAGCAACGCCGCGUGAGUGAAGAAGGUUUUCGGAUCGUAAAGCUCUGUUGUAAGAGAAGAACGGGUGUGAGAGUGGAAAGUUCACACUGUGACGGUAUCUUACCAGAAAGGGACGGCUAACUACGUG